Molecule: ribosomal RNA, 183 nt
Filed under: uncultured bacterium
Lineage: Bacteria
Description: partial 16S ribosomal RNA
Rfam family: Bacterial small subunit ribosomal RNA
Source: RNAcentral
AACUCGCCUGCACGAAGUCGGAAUUGCUAGUAAUCGUAGGUCAGCAUACUACGGUGAAUACGUUCCCGGGCCUUGUACACACCGCCCGUCAAGCCAUGGGAGCCGGGGGCGCCUGAAGUCCGGGACCGCGAGGACCGGCCUAGGGCGAAACUGGUAACUGGGGCUAAGUCGUAACAAGGUAUC